AGUGAACGCUGGCGGUAGGCCUAACACAUGCAAGUCGAACGGCAGCACAGUAAGAGCUUGCUCUUACGGGUGGCGAGUGGCGGACGGGUGAGGAAUACAUCGGAAUCUACUUUUUCGUGGGGGAUAACGUAGGGAAACUUACGCUAAUACCGCAUACGACCUACGGGUGAAAGCAGGGGAUCUUCGGACCUUGCGCGAUUGAAUGAGCCGAUGUCGGAUUAGCUAGUUGGCGGGGUAAAGGCCCACCAAGGCGACGAUCCGUAGCUGGUCUGAGAGGAUGAUCAGCCACACUGGAACUGAGACACGGUCCAGACUCCAACGGGAGGCAGCAGUGGGGAAUAUUGGACAAGGGGCGCAAGCCUGAUCCAGCCAUACCGCGUGGGUGAAGAAGGCCUUCGGGUUGUAAAGCCCUUUUGUUGGGAAAGAAAAGCAGCAGGUUAAUACCCCGCUGUUCUGACGGUACACAAAGAAAGCACCGGCUAACUUCGUG
This 490-nucleotide ribosomal RNA is filed under the name uncultured bacterium. Its description in RNAcentral is "partial 16S ribosomal RNA". It matches the Rfam family "Bacterial small subunit ribosomal RNA", at positions 29 to 507 of the family's 1533-position model. The record is from RNAcentral.